Molecule: ribosomal RNA, 424 nt
Filed under: uncultured Actinomycetes bacterium
Lineage: Bacteria; Bacillati; Actinomycetota; Actinomycetes
Description: bacterial SSU rRNA
Rfam family: Bacterial small subunit ribosomal RNA
Source: RNAcentral
CUCAACCUCGGAAUUGCAGUCGAUACUGCUGUGACUCGAGUCCGGUAGAGGAGAAUGGAAUUCUCGGUGUAGCGGUGAAAUGCGCAGAUAUCGAGAGGAACACCAGUAGCGAAGGCGGUUCUCUGGGCCGGCACUGACGCUGAGGAGCGAAAGCGUGGGGAGCAAACAGGAUUAGAUACCCUGGUAGUCCACGCUGUAAACGUUGGAUACUAGGUGUGGCGGUCUUACCAACGACUGCCGUGCCGAAGCUAACGCAUUAAGUAUCCCGCCUGGGGAGUACGGCCGCAAGGCUAAAACUCAAAGGAAUUGACGGGUCCCCGCACAAGCGGCGGAGCAUGCGGCUUAAUUCGAUGCAACCCGAAGAACCUUACCUGGGUUUGACAUCACGGGAAAAGCUGUAGAAAUACAGUGUCCAUUAGGGCCC